Molecule: ribosomal RNA, 906 nt
Filed under: uncultured bacterium
Lineage: Bacteria
Description: bacterial SSU rRNA
Rfam family: Bacterial small subunit ribosomal RNA
Source: RNAcentral
AGAGUUUGAUCCUGGCUCAGGACGAACGCUGGCGGCGGGCUUAACACAUGCAAGUCGAACGAGCAGUUAGUUGACGCUUCGGUUGAAACUAACGGGCGAGUGGCGAACGGGUGCGUAACACGUAGGUAACCUGCCCUUGAGAGGGGAACAACCAUUGGAAACGAUGGCUAACACCGCAUAAAGUCCCAACUGCGCAUGCAGUAGGGAUGAAAACUCCGGUGCUCGAGGAUGGGCCUGCGGCGGAUUAGGAAGUUGGUGAGGUAACGGCUCACCAAUCCUGCGAUCCGUAGCUGGUCUGAGAGGAUGAUCAGCCACACUGGCACUGAGACACGGGCCAGACUCCUACGGGAGGCAGCAGUGAGGAAUAUUGGGCAAUGGGCGAAAGCCUGACCCAGCCACGCCGCGUGCAGGACGACACCCCUAUGGGGCGUAAACUGCUUUUACGUGAGAAGAAUUCUCCCGACGUGUCGGGAAUUGACGGUAUCACGUGAAUAAGGACCGGCUAACUCCGUGCCAGCAGCCGCGGUAAUACGGAGGGUCCAAGCGUUGUCCGGAUUUAUUGGGUGUAAAGGGUGUGUAGGCGGGCUUGCCAGUCAGAGGUGAAAGCCCACGGCUCAACCGUGGAACUGCCUCUGAUACUGUAAGUCUUGAGUCCUGGAGAGGUUGUCGGAAUUCGUGGUGUAGCGGUGAAAUGCGUAGAUAUCACGAGGAACACCGGUUACGUAGGUGGGCAACUGGACAGGUACUGACGCUGAGGCACGAAAGCGUGGGGAGCAAACAGGAUUAGAUACCCUGGUAGUCCACGCUGUAAACGAUGGAUACUCGGUGUCGCCGAUUCGUUGGGCGGUGCCUAAGCGAACGCAUUAAGUAUCCCACCUGGGGAGUACGAUCGCAAGGUUGAAACUC